This 380-nucleotide long non-coding RNA is filed under the name Homo sapiens (human). RNAcentral's name for it is "HSALNT0368893". The record is from RNAcentral. Lineage: Eukaryota; Metazoa; Chordata; Mammalia; Primates; Hominidae.
CCCGCCUUGGCCUCCCAAAAUGCUGGGAUUACAGGCGCAAGUCACCGCGCCCAGCCUUCAAUUUAAUCUUUACUAUAGCCUUGCCUGACAAGUCAUAUGGCAGAACAACAGUGGAGGAGGAGGACGAUAGGACUGUUCUCCAAGAAUCUGGACAUGAGGGAAAUGGAGUGACCUUCAGAAAGUACACCAUUUUGUCAGGCAUGACAACUGGCUUUUCAGCUUCAGGAAUGAAUAUGGACAACUUGAAGGAAGGCUUGCCAAGAUCCCAGUGGAGCCUCAGAUGCAGCAGAUGAUGAGAAGGUUACUGACUUCCUACCCACAUCUGAAGGCAGGGUGUUGCUCCGAGUUGUUUGGCUGUAGUGCGGCCGCGAGCUGCUGCG